UGUAGCUCAGUGGUGGAGCCCUUGCCUGGCAUGCACGAGGCCCUGGGUUCUAUCCCCAGCA
Non-coding RNA from Heterocephalus glaber (naked mole-rat), 61 nucleotides. The record is from Rfam. Lineage: Eukaryota; Metazoa; Chordata; Mammalia; Rodentia; Bathyergidae.